RNAcentral lists this transfer RNA (69 nucleotides) under Marmota monax (woodchuck). It matches the Rfam family "tRNA". From Rfam's summary of the family: Transfer RNA (tRNA) molecules are approximately 80 nucleotides in length. Their secondary structure includes four short double-helical elements and three loops (D, anti-codon, and T loops). RNAcentral also lists the same sequence under 1 other name. Lineage: Eukaryota; Metazoa; Chordata; Mammalia; Rodentia; Sciuridae. The record is from Rfam by way of RNAcentral.
GGAGUUGUAGCUCAGAGGUAGAGCGCUCACUUGCCAUGUGUGAGGCACUGGGUUCCAUCCUCAGCACCA